This 168-nucleotide ribosomal RNA is filed under the name uncultured Chloroflexota bacterium. Its description in RNAcentral is "uncultured Chloroflexi bacterium partial 16S ribosomal RNA". It matches the Rfam family "Bacterial small subunit ribosomal RNA", at positions 1215 to 1382 of the family's 1533-position model. The record is from RNAcentral. Lineage: Bacteria; Bacillati; Chloroflexota.
UACACACACGCUACAAUGGGUGAUACGAACAGGUUGCGAAAGAGCGAUCUGGAGCUAAUCCCUAAAAUCAUCCUCAGUUCGGAUUGCAGGCUGAAACUGCCUGCAUGAAGUUGGAGUUGCUAGUAACCGCAGGUCAGCACACUGCGGUGAAUACGUUCUCGGGCCGUU